GGGACACGUGGUAUCCUGUCUGAAUAUGGGGGGACCAUCCUCCAAGGCUAAAUACUCCUGACUGACCGAUAGUGAACCAGUACCGUGAGGGAAAGGCGAAAAGAACCCCGGCGAGGGGAGUGAAAAAGAACCUGAAACCGUGUACGUACAAGCAGUGGGAGCACGCUUAGGCGUGUGACUGCGUACCUUUUGUAUAAUGGGUCAGCGACUUAUAUUCUGUAGCAAGGUUAACCGAAUAGGGGAGCCGAAGGGAAACCGAGUCUUAACUGGGCGUUAAGUUGCAGGGUAUAGACCCGAAACCCGGUGAUCUAGCCAUGGGCAGGUUGAAGGUUGGGUAACACUAACUGGAGGACCGAACCGACUAAUGUUGAAAAAUUAGCGGAUGACUUGUGGCUGGGGGUGAAAGGCCAAUCAAACCGGGAGAUAGCUGGUUCUCCCCGAAAGCUAUUUAGGUAGCGCCUCGUGAAUUCAUCUCCGGGGGUAGAGCACUGUUUCGGCAAGGGGGUCAUCCCGACUUACCAACCCGAUGCAAACUGCGAAUACCGGAGAAUGUUAUCACGGGAGACACACGGCGGGUGCUAACGUCCGUCGUGAAGAGGGAAACAACCCAGACCGCCAGCUAAGGUCCCAAAGUCAUGGUUAAGUGGGAAACGAUGUGGGAAGGCCCAGACAGCCAGGAUGUUGGCUUAGAAGCAGCCAUCAUUUAAAGAAAGCGUAAUAGCUCACUGGUCGAGUCGGCCUGCGCGGAAGAUGUAACGGGGCUAAACCAUGCACCGAAGCUGCGGCAGCGACGCUGAUGCGUUGUUGGGUAGGGGAGCGUUCUGUAAGCCUGUGAAGGUGUGCUGUGAGGCAUGCUGGAGGUAUCAGAAGUGCGAAUGCUGACAUAAGUAACGAUAAAGCGGGUGAAAAGCCCGCUCGCCGGAAGACCAAGGGUUCCUGUCCAACGUUAAUCGGGGCAGGGUGAGUCGACCCCUAAGGCGAGGCCGAAAGGCGUAGUCGAUGGGAAACAGGUUAAUAUUCCUGUACUUGGUGUUACUGCGAAGGGGGGACGGAGAAGGCUAUGUUGGCCGGGCGACGGUUGUCCCGGUUUAAGCGUGUAGGCUGGUUUUCCAGGCAAAUCCGGAAAAUCAAGGCUGAGGCGUGAUGACGAGGCACUACGGUGCUGAAGCAACAAAUGCCCUGCUUCCAGGAAAAGCCUCUAAGCAUCAGGUAACAUCAAAUCGUACCCCAAACCGACACAGGUGGUCAGGUAGAGAAUACCAAGGCGCUUGAGAGAACUCGGGUGAAGGAACUAGGCAAAAUGGUGCCGUAACUUCGGGAGAAGGCACGCUGAUAUGUAGGUGAAGUCCCUCGCGGAUGGAGCUGAAAUCAGUCGAAGAUACCAGCUGGCUGCAACUGUUUAUUAAAAACACAGCACUGUGCAAACACGAAAGUGGACGUAUACGGUGUGACGCCUGCCCGGUGCCGGAAGGUUAAUUGAUGGGGUCAGCGCAAGCGAAGCUCUUGAUCGAAGCCCCGGUAAACGGCGGCCGUAACUAUAACGGUCCUAAGGUAGCGAAAUUCCUUGUCGGGUAAGUUCCGACCUGCACGAAUGGCGUAAUGAUGGCCAGGCUGUCUCCACCCGAGACUCAGUGAAAUUGAACUCGCUGUGAAGAUGCAGUGUACCCGCGGCAAGACGGAAAGACCCCGUGAACCUUUACUAUAGCUUGACACUGAACAUUGAGCCUUGAUGUGUAGGAUAGGUGGGAGGCUUUGAAGUGUGGACGCCAGUCUGCAUGGAGCCGACCUUGAAAUACCACCCUUUAAUGUUUGAUGUUCUAACGUUGACCCGUAAUCCGGGUUGCGGACAGUGUCUGGUGGGUAGUUUGACUGGGGCGGUCUCCUCCUAAAGAGUAACGGAGGAGCACGAAGGUUGGCUAAUCCUGGUCGGACAUCAGGAGGUUAGUGCAAUGGCAUAAGCCAGCUUGACUGCGAGCGUGACGGCGCGAGCAGGUGCGAAAGCAGGUCAUAGUGAUCCGGUGGUUCUGAAUGGAAGGGCCAUCGCUCAACGGAUAAAAGGUACUCCGGGGAUAACAGGCUGAUACCGCCCAAGAGUUCAUAUCGACGGCGGUGUUUGGCACCUCGAUGUCGGCUCAUCACAUCCUGGGGCUGAAGUAGGUCCCAAGGGUAUGGCUGUUCGCCAUUUAAAGUGGUACGCGAGCUGGGUUUAGAACGUCGUGAGACAGUUCGGUCCCUAUCUGCCGUGGGCGCUGGAGAACUGAGGGGGGCUGCUCCUAGUACGAGAGGACCGGAGUGGACGCAUCACUGGUGUUCGGGUUGUCAUGCCAAUGGCACUGCCCGGUAGCUAAAUGCGGAAGAGAUAAGUGCUGAAAGCAUCUAAGCACGAAACUUGCCCCGAGAUGAGUUCUCCCUGACUCCUUGAGAGUCCUGAAGGAACGUUGAAGACGACGACGUUGAUAGGCCGGGUGUGUAAGCGCAGCGAUGCGUUGAGCUAACCGGUACUAAUGAACCGUGAGGCUUAACCUUACAACGCCGAAGGUGUUU
This 2544-nucleotide ribosomal RNA is filed under the name Escherichia coli. RNAcentral describes it as "partial 23S ribosomal RNA". It matches the Rfam family "Bacterial large subunit ribosomal RNA", at positions 419 to 2925 of the family's 2925-position model. Lineage: Bacteria; Pseudomonadati; Pseudomonadota; Gammaproteobacteria; Enterobacterales; Enterobacteriaceae. The record is from RNAcentral.